UGGGGAAUAUUGCACAAUGGGGGAAACCCUGAUGCAGCGACGCCGCGUGAGCGAAGAAGGUUUUCGAAUCGUAAAGCUCUGUCCUAUGGGAAGAUAAUGACGGUACCAUAGGAGGAAGCCCCGGCUAACUACGUGCCAGCAGCCGCGGUAAUACGUAGGGGGCAAGCGUUGUCCGGAAUCACUGGGCGUAAAGGGUUCGCAGGCGGAAAUGCAAGUCGGUUGUGAAAGGCAGAGGCUCAACCUCUGUAAGCAAUUGAAACUGUAUUUCUUGAGAUGUGGAGAGGCAAGUGGAAUUCCUAGUGUAGCGGUGAAAUGCGUAGAUAUUAGGAAGAAUACCGGUGGCGAAGGCGACUUGCUGGACACAGACUGACGCUGAGGAACGAAAGCGUGGGUAGCAAACAGG
RNAcentral lists this ribosomal RNA (403 nucleotides) under Fusobacteriota bacterium. RNAcentral's name for it is "Fusobacteria bacterium partial 16S ribosomal RNA". It matches the Rfam family "Bacterial small subunit ribosomal RNA", at positions 355 to 776 of the family's 1533-position model. The record is from RNAcentral. Lineage: Bacteria; Fusobacteriati; Fusobacteriota.